UUACAGUUGGCUCCCAGGCGACGACGGGUAGCCGGCCUGAGAGGGCGACCGGCCACACUGGGACUGAGACACGGCCCAGACUCCUACGGGAGGCAGCAGUGGGGAAUAUUGCGCAAUGGGCGAAAGCCUGACGCAGCGACGCCGCGUGCGGGAUGAAGGCCUUCGGGUCGUAAACCGCUGUCGGGAGGGACGAAGCUCUGACGGUACCUCCAAAGGAAGCACCGGCUAACUACGUGCCAGCAGCCGCGGCCG
This 252-nucleotide ribosomal RNA is filed under the name uncultured Micromonospora sp. Its description in RNAcentral is "partial 16S ribosomal RNA". It matches the Rfam family "Bacterial small subunit ribosomal RNA", at positions 258 to 523 of the family's 1533-position model. Lineage: Bacteria; Bacillati; Actinomycetota; Actinomycetes; Micromonosporales; Micromonosporaceae. The record is from RNAcentral.